AUGGCUUUCUUUUUUGUUUUGUUAUGUUUGUUUGGUAUGCUGACAUAAUUAUACAUGAUGAAAAGUUGGGGCUGCUGCUGGCUCCGGUGGCCCAAGCUGUUGCUCGUUGGGCCAAGGGCAGCUGGUUGGGGGCCUAAGGCUACUUCGCCUGAAUAGUAGAUCCGCCUAUGUGUGUGUGUGCAUUUUUGUUUCAUGUAUAGACCCUACCCACCGACGUCACAAAACCACGUGCUCGCUGUAUGGUUCCGCCCACUUGUCCGUCAUUUUGUCUCUGUAUUAGCAUUGGUUUCAAUUGAUCGAGCAAUUUAUAAUGCAUUUCAUGGAAGACCCGGUGCUUUCUGAUGCCGUAAACUCACUGGAUGUGUUGCAUAAAAGGCGUUAUGUGGAAAAGCUUCGUUCUAUACAGUCGCCAGAUCCAUAUUUGAUGCCCAAAUCGAUGUUUUUCGACCCACUGUCUUCGCCCUGUCUGCCUGACAUCUGCUACGCUGAUAUUUACAAUUAUCUUGUCCACACAAAAUCAGCCUAUUCUCACGAAAAUUUGAAAAACUUCAAGAGCUUGGAGGCUUAUAAAUACUUCGUUGCUGGUUGGGUGAAACAGGUCCUCGUCCACGAAAAUUCGGCAGGAAUCUAUCUUGUACUUGGAAAGUAGCUGGUUCCGUGGACACAUGAAGCUCCAAGAAACGAACCUAUUCUCGAACCAAUUGGCUCAAGUGGAGCAAUGCCUCAUGAGGCUUCAUCUCACCAUCACUACUACCAGGCCAGCUGCAAUUAAGUGGCUUAAGCAGCCACAUGUGGAGGAGUUGUUCGGCAUGCUGGGAGACGUAGUCUUUGGGCUGGUGGCCAUUUUGACAGGAUUCUUCAUCUGUGGCCAAGGAAUGUAAUGGCCCUCCACUACUUGCCCCCGCAUGAUGUCACAUCAUUUACGUAAAUAACUCAUUAUAACAUUGUUGAUACACCGUAAGUGGAUUGACAGAAUGAUGCAUGUUCAGGACAUCUUAACAAUUUCACAAGCUAUCAAAAGAAAAAAACAUCCACCGGACAUGAAUCGUAACCUCAACUUGAGCUUCUCAAACACAGUUUAAAAAGCAUAAUAAUGUAAUAAAAAUAUGCUUACAUGAAUGUUUUUUGAGAUUUGACGGUGAGUUUAACACUGGAAGUCCCAGGGUUUUUUUGGCUAUAAAGAAAGACCAGAAAGGCGUCAUAUGACCCCGAUACCAGACUGACUACUUGGCUUUGUCAAACAAUAGACCACUCAAACAAGCAAUCAAGCAGACACCCCCCCCUUACACACUCCUGUGGAGUCGCUGCCUAGGUGUGAAGGGAUAACUGCAAUUAGCAUCUAAAAUAUUUGCAAAUCCAGGGCUCCCUUGGCUUUGUCAAACACGGAGGAACACGGCGAGUCGCCGUGUUUUACAAUAUGAUUGACAUGGCAGCAAUAAAUGCAUAUGUGUUAUAUCAGGCAUGCACCGUAAGGCAAGAGAGACGGGUGGACUUCUCGGUGGGUCUUGCAAAGGAAUUGGCUCACUCUCAUGUGGGUGCUAAGAAGGCGCAGAAGGAAAAAUUGCUUCGGCAACAUCUCCAACAUCUAGCCCCAGGAAAAAGGCGAAGUGUCAUAUGUCACCACAUUAAAAAAGUUUUUGUUUUUUAUUACACCGUCUCUUGUACUCUAUAUACCGUAAUUUCCCGAAUAUAAGGCGCACCCGUGUAUAAUGCGCACCCCAAAUUUACUUGUACAAUCUAGGGAAAAUUAUUGUACCCGUUUAUAAUGCGCACCCUACUUUUAGCACCAAUAAAUGGAAGAAUACAAGAAAACAGAGCUUGUGUACAGAUACAGAAAUGUCAUUUUACUGACUGGUAAAACACAGCACAAGCAUAGCAUAUUGGUAGUUGACGAUAUUUACCGUAAUAAUAUGAUUUGACUACUUCUCCAACUUACCAGAAUCUAGGAGAAAACAAAACAGAUGUGACUUUUCUUUAAAAGGCUGCUGUA
Corythoichthys intestinalis (scribbled pipefish) is the source of this 1990-nucleotide long non-coding RNA. RefSeq lists it as uncharacterized. The record is from RefSeq and is a predicted model, not a curated record. Lineage: Eukaryota; Metazoa; Chordata; Actinopteri; Syngnathiformes; Syngnathidae. The transcript is spliced from 3 exons.